AGUGGUGGCGGCGCCGAGAUGGAGGAGCAUGAGGCCGUCGCGGCCAUGCUUGGCGGAGAGGUCACGGAGGGUGAUGUGCGGGAGGUCGCCGCCGAUGAGGUGAAGGUGGCCGAUGAUGGGAAGCCCCGGAGGCGAAGGCGGAAGCUGCUGCUGCUGCUGCUUGUCGUCGCUGCAGCUGCUGCUGCCAUGACGACGGCGGUCUGACCUUGACCGUCGGGAGGAGUAGUAGUGAAGCAGGAGCAGGAGAGGAACGAGGAGCAAUAGGAGCCAUUGUGCCAGGACUAACGAUGAAGAGGUGAGUUGGAAUGCCACCUCCAGGU
Molecule: long non-coding RNA, 320 nt
Filed under: Sorghum bicolor (sorghum)
Lineage: Eukaryota; Viridiplantae; Streptophyta; Magnoliopsida; Poales; Poaceae
Description: long non-coding RNA (SBIC_LNC011587)
Source: RNAcentral